AUCCCAUGGUGGUAGCUGCGGUCUGAAGU
This 29-nucleotide small RNA is filed under the name Bombyx mori (domestic silkworm). Its description in RNAcentral is "ovarian small RNA-12451". Lineage: Eukaryota; Metazoa; Arthropoda; Insecta; Lepidoptera; Bombycidae. The record is from RNAcentral.